This 73-nucleotide transfer RNA is filed under the name Dialister micraerophilus DSM 19965. It matches the Rfam family "tRNA". From Rfam's summary of the family: Transfer RNA (tRNA) molecules are approximately 80 nucleotides in length. Lineage: Bacteria; Bacillati; Bacillota; Negativicutes; Veillonellales; Veillonellaceae. The record is from Rfam by way of RNAcentral.
GCCUCGGUAGCUCAGUUGGUAGAGCAAAGGACUGAAAAUCCUUGUGUCCCCGGUUCGAUUCCGGGCUGAGGCA